RNAcentral lists this ribosomal RNA (492 nucleotides) under uncultured bacterium. RNAcentral's name for it is "partial 16S ribosomal RNA". It matches the Rfam family "Bacterial small subunit ribosomal RNA", at positions 29 to 507 of the family's 1533-position model. The record is from RNAcentral.
AGUGAACGCUGGCGGUAGGCCUAACACAUGCAAGUCGAACGGCAGCACAGUAAGAGCUUGCUCUUACGGGUGGCGAGUGGCGGACGGGUGAGGAAUACAUCGGAAUCUACUUUUUCGUGGGGGAUAACGUAGGGAAACUUACGCUAAUACCGCAUACGACCUCCGGGUGAAAGCAGGGGAUCUUCGGACCUUGCGCGAUUGAAUGAGCCGAUGUCGGAUUAGCUAGUUGGCGGGGUAAAGGCCCACCAAGGCGAGGAUCCGUAGCUGGUCUGAGAGGAUGAUCAGCCACACUGGAACUGAGACACGGUCCAGACUCCUACGGGAGGCAGCAGUGGGGAAUAUUGGACAAUGGGCGCAAGCCUGAUCCAGCCAUGCCGCGUGGGUGAAGAAGGUCUUCGGGUUGUAAAGCCCUGUUGUUGGGGAAGAAAGGCAGCGGGUGAAUACCCCGCGGUACUGACGGUACCCAAAGAGAAAGCACCGGCUAACUUCGUG